Molecule: long non-coding RNA, 498 nt
Organism: Thamnophis elegans (Western terrestrial garter snake)
Lineage: Eukaryota; Metazoa; Chordata; Lepidosauria; Squamata; Natricidae
Exons: 2
Source: RefSeq, a predicted model, not a curated record
AUCAGACAGGGUUCUACCGUCGAGUUCGCCCUGUUGGCUAGAGCGCCUCGUUAGACCAUAGAUUGAGGCAAGAGUCACUGCCGAGAUGGAGUUUUGGUGGGGAGUUACCUUUGAAUCAGUUGUCCCAAGUAGGCAUCCGAAUUGGCUGUCUCAGCGCUAGAGAUUGAGAAGAUGAAAAACUACAGGAAAAAUGAUUAUGUUGUUGUGAUACCCAAAAAGGAAUGAGAAUGGUAAUUAUUUGCUGAAAGCCUACGAAAAAUAUCCACUUGUUUCUAAUUCAUGGUUUAUGCAUACAUCAUGGCAAACUAAUGAAUAUAAAAGAAGAAUAUGUAUGAUAAGAUGAUAAGGAGAAACAAAAUCAAAUGCAUUGCUAUUUCUAAUUGCAUGCUGGUAAGGCCAUGAAUCAUUGUUUUAAGUUACACCUGGCAUGCUAGCAAAAGAAAACAGAAAAAAGAAGAUAAAGAAUAGUCCUAUCUGAUUAAAGAUAAAACUCUCAUG